GAUGAACGCUGGCGGCGUGCCUAAUACAUGCAAGUCGAACGCACAGCGAAAGGUGCUUGCACCUUUCAAGUGAGUGGCGAACGGGUGAGUAACACGUGGAUAACCUACCUCAAGGUUGGGGAUAACAUUUGGAAACAGAUGCUAAUACCGAAUAAAACUUAGUAUCGCAUGAUACCAGGUUAAAAGGCGCUACGGCGUCACCUAGAGAUGGAUCCGCGGUGCAUUAGUUAGUUGGUGGGUAAAGGCUUACCAAGACAAUGAUGCAUAGCCGAGUUGAGAGACUGAUCGGCCACAUUGGGACUGGGACACGGCCCAAUCUCCUACGGAGGCUGCAGUAGGGAAUCUUCCACAAUGGGCGAAAGCCUGAUGGAGCAACGCCGCGUGUGUGAUGAAGGCUUUCGGCGUAAAGCACUGUUGUAUGGGAAGAACAGCUAGAGUAGGGAAUGACUUUAGUUGACGGUACC
Molecule: ribosomal RNA, 464 nt
Filed under: uncultured bacterium
Lineage: Bacteria
Description: bacterial SSU rRNA
Rfam family: Bacterial small subunit ribosomal RNA
Source: RNAcentral